This 1043-nucleotide long non-coding RNA is filed under the name Panax ginseng (ginseng). RNAcentral's name for it is "long non-coding RNA (PGIN_LNC008821)". The record is from RNAcentral. Lineage: Eukaryota; Viridiplantae; Streptophyta; Magnoliopsida; Apiales; Araliaceae.
UCACAUACAACUGUGGGGAAAAUUCAACAACUUAUUGUAAUCAAACGUUUCCUCUCCCAUAAAAAAAAACCCCACGCUGUCAAUUAAUCAAAAGAAGAUCAGAACUAACAAAUUCUUUAAUUUGCUUGCAGAUAUGAUUACAGAUAUGAUAUAUUAUCAGCCUCAACGGAUAUUAUUAUCGCCCAAAAUAGGUCCACACAUUCUGAGUCGCAAAAUACACACUACAAAAUUCAAAUACAAACUUCAUUUAUGCAAUUAUUAACUGACAAACUUCAUUUAUGCAAUUAUUAACUGACGUGUAAAAUACGACAACAGAUAAGCUGUGAGUUUCAAUACAAAUAACAGUUUUCACAUCCUACAAUGAUAUUUACAUAAAGGUAUAGUCGAUAACUGUUUUAGGAAUUAAAAUAUUUGAGAAAUGCUCAAGGAAGCCUUCAUAAAUGAGACACCAUGCUUCUUUUUGCAAUAUCCACGAAUUAUCAAAAGUUAAACUUUUGGAAUGCUUCGAUUAAUUUUCAAAUUUUUGCAAUAUCCACAAACCACAAUCCAACAUACCAUCUAAAUGGUCGAGAUAAGGCAAAAACUGAAAAUCCAACCUACCAAAUUCUUUAAACAGAGAAAUCACGGCCGAACAUAUCUUAAUAACACCAAAUAGUUGAUUUGCCUGAAAAAUCCACCCAACUUGGCAUUCGGAUCGAUUGAUUGAAUAAAACCGGAUCAUCAUGCAGAAUAUCAAUAUUGUAAGACCCAGAUUUAAGUUUCUUUGAGUACAGGAUGUGGUCUAACAGAUCCCUUAAAACAGCAGUAAUAUAAGACCGAUGCAAAAUCAUAUUGAUUCGGAAGAGAAUUAUGGAUGUACCUUUAGGCAGCCCAACAAUACGAGAACCUUAUUCAGAUGGCAUCUCUUACCUUCCACAAAAUAGAGAAGAAGCGUGCAGAGAUGAGGAAGAGAGAAGAAAGGUGUAGAGGCGGCUAUUGCAGGUAGACUAACUCUAUCUUUAUAUAGGUAUUAGAUUUGGUUCACGCUCAAUGCAGUGUUUUUG